CGGUAGAAAUUUCAUUCAUUUUUAUUGUUAAAGAUCGGUCCCUGUACGUUAGAAUAAUCAAACAGUUAUGCAUGGAAUGCUAUGCGUACCUCAUUCUGACAUAUAAAGAUCAAUUUUAACAAUGGAAAUGGAUGAGAUUAGGACCA
RNAcentral lists this microRNA precursor (146 nucleotides) under Gossypium arboreum. Its description in RNAcentral is "MIR7502 microRNA precursor family". It matches the Rfam family "MIR7502 microRNA precursor family". Lineage: Eukaryota; Viridiplantae; Streptophyta; Magnoliopsida; Malvales; Malvaceae. The record is from Rfam by way of RNAcentral.